AGUCGAGCGAACUGAUUAGAAGCUUGCUUCUAUGACGUUAGCGGCGGACGGGUGAGUAACACGUGGGCAACCUGCCUGUAAGACUGGGAUAACUUCGGGAAACCGAAGCUAAUACCGGAUAGGAUCUUCUCCUUCAUGGGAGAUGAUUGAAAGAUGGUUUCGGCUAUCACUUACAGAUGGGCCCGCGGUGCAUUAGCUAGUUGGUGAGGUAACGGCUCACCAAGGCAACGAUGCAUAGCCGACCUGAGAGGGUGAUCGGCCACACUGGGACUGAGACACGGCCCAGACUCCUACGGGAGGCAGCAGUAGGGAAUCUUCCGCAAUGGACGAAAGUCUGACGGAGCAACGCCGCGUGAGUGAUGAAGGCUUUCGGGUCGUAAAACUCUGUUGUUAGGGAAGAACAAGUACAAGAGUAACUGCUUGUACCUUGACGGUACCUAACCAGAAAGCCACGGCUAACUACGUGCCAGCAGCCGCGGUAAUACGUAGGUGGCAAGCGUUAUCCGGAAUUAUUGGGCGUAAAGCGCGCGCAGGCGGUUUCUUAAGUCUGAUGUGAAAGCCCACGGCUCAACCGUGGAGGGUCAUUGGAAACUGGGGAACUUGAGUGCAGAAGAGAAAAGCGGAAUUCCACGUGUAGCGGUGAAAUGCGUAGAGAUGUGGAGGAACACCAGUGGCGAAGGCGGCUUUUUGGUCUGUAACUGACGCUGAGGCGCGAAAGCGU
RNAcentral lists this ribosomal RNA (721 nucleotides) under Bacillus sp. FJAT-4637. Its description in RNAcentral is "bacterial SSU rRNA". It matches the Rfam family "Bacterial small subunit ribosomal RNA", at positions 60 to 762 of the family's 1533-position model. Lineage: Bacteria; Bacillati; Bacillota; Bacilli; Caryophanales; Bacillaceae. The record is from RNAcentral.